This is a long non-coding RNA of Trifolium pratense (red clover), 457 nucleotides long. RefSeq lists it as uncharacterized. NCBI's taxonomy places the organism in Eukaryota, Viridiplantae, Streptophyta, Magnoliopsida, Fabales, Fabaceae. The record is from RefSeq and is a predicted model, not a curated record. The transcript has 2 exons.
UUUAACAAUAAUUCCUAUUUAUUGAAUAUAUGGUUUCUUGCAACUCUUAAUUAAGUGCUAAAAAGUAUUUAAUUAAAUUGACAAAACAUAGAAACUUUUUUAUAAAGAGAUCAAACAACUUUAUUUAGUACAUGCAAAGGAGGGAAACAUGACUCUAAUUCCAUGUUUUUUGCAUGCUUUGAUCAUCUUUCUUUCUCUAUUUCUUAUUGCAACCAAAAUUGGUUCUAUUCCCUGCUCCAAAACUGCUGAUUGUCCAUCAAAUAUGUGCGACGGUGCUCCUCGAGUUCCAUGGUGCGUUGAUUUUUAUUGUGAGUGUAUGUAAGUGUAACAAUUAAUUUGAAAAAUAAUUCUAUUGUUUUUAGGUACAAAAAAGUGAACAACAAACAAAUAUAAUUUUGUUAUGUGUAAUUGUAUGAUUUCAUUUUUACGUCGUAAUGUUAAUUAAUACUUUUUCUCA